Molecule: ribosomal RNA, 505 nt
Filed under: uncultured bacterium
Lineage: Bacteria
Description: partial 16S ribosomal RNA
Rfam family: Bacterial small subunit ribosomal RNA
Source: RNAcentral
GACGAACGCUGGCGGCGUGCCUAAUACAUGCAAGUAGAACGCACAGUUUAUACCGUAGCUUGCUACACCAUAGACUGUGAGUUGCGAACGGGUGAGUAACGCGUAGGUAACCUGCCUGGUAGCGGGGGAUAACUAUUGGAAACGAUAGCUAAUACCGCAUAAUAUUAAUUAUUGCAUGAUAAUUAAUUGAAAGGUGCAAUUGCACCACUACCAGAUGGACCUGCGUUGUAUUAGCUAGUAGGGGAGGUAACGGCUCACCUAGGCGACGAUACAUAGCCGACCUGAGAGGGUGAUCGGCCACACUGGGACUGGGACACGGCCCAGACUCCUACGGGAAGCAGCAGUAGGGAAGCUUCGGCAAUGGACGAAAGUCUGACCGAGCAACGCCGCGUGAGUGAAGAAGGUUUUCGGAUCGGAAAGCUCUGUUGUAAGAGAAGAACGGGUGUUAGAGUGGAAAGUUCACACUGUGACGGUACCUUACCAGAAAGGGACGGCUAACUACGUG